RNAcentral lists this ribosomal RNA (254 nucleotides) under uncultured bacterium. Its description in RNAcentral is "partial 16S ribosomal RNA". It matches the Rfam family "Bacterial small subunit ribosomal RNA", at positions 524 to 776 of the family's 1533-position model. The record is from RNAcentral.
UACGAAGGGGGCUAGCGUUGUUCGGAUUUACUGGGCGUAAAGCGCACGUAGGCGGAUCUUUAAGUCAGAGGUGAAAUCCCAAGGCUCAACCUCGGAACUGCCUUUGAUACUGGGGAUCUUGAGUCCGGGAGAGGUGAGUGGAACUGCGAGUGUAGAGGUGAAAUUCGUAGAUAUUCGCAAGAACACCAGUGGCGAAGGCGGCUCACUGGCCCGGUACUGACGCUGAGGUGCGAAAGCGUGGGGGAGCAAACAGG